GUAGUCUUGGCCAUAAACGAUGAUCACUAGGUGUCGGGGGUCUCCUCGGUGCCGCAGCUAACGCAUUAAGUGAUCCACCUGGGGACUACGGCCGCAAGGUUGAAACUCAAAGGAAUUGGCGGGGGCCCGCACAAGCGGUGGAGCAUGUGGCUUAAUUCGAUGCAACGCGAAGAACCUUACCCAGGCUUGACAUGUAUCUGCAAGCUCCCGAAACGGAGUCGCCUUCGAGGGUGAUACACAGGUGGUGCAUGGCUGUCGUCAGCUCGUGUUGUGAAAUGUUGGGUUAAGUCCCGCAACGAGCGCAACCCUCAUGUUCUGUUACCAGCGGGUAAAGCCGGGGACUCGGGACAAACUGCCUCUGUAAAGAGGA
Molecule: ribosomal RNA, 370 nt
Filed under: uncultured bacterium
Lineage: Bacteria
Description: bacterial SSU rRNA
Rfam family: Bacterial small subunit ribosomal RNA
Source: RNAcentral